This 292-nucleotide ribosomal RNA is filed under the name uncultured bacterium. RNAcentral's name for it is "partial 16S ribosomal RNA". The record is from RNAcentral.
GGACUACCGGGGUAUCUAAUCCCGUUCGCUCCCCUGGCUUUCGUGUCUCAGCGUCAGCACACCCCCAGCGAGCUGUUUUCACCAUUGGCGUUCCAAAUGAUAUCUACGCAUUUCACCGCUCCACCAUUUGUUCCGCUCGCCCCUAGGUGGCUCAAGACGACCAGUAUACCAAGCAGUUCCACGGGUGAGCCGUGGGAUUUCACAAGGUACUUAGAAGUCCGCCUACACACGCUUUAAGCCCAGUGAUUCCGCCUAACGCUCGAGGCCUCUGUAUUACCGCGGCUGCUGGCAC